RNAcentral lists this long non-coding RNA (290 nucleotides) under Capsella rubella. RNAcentral's name for it is "long non-coding RNA (CRUB_LNC004762)". Lineage: Eukaryota; Viridiplantae; Streptophyta; Magnoliopsida; Brassicales; Brassicaceae. The record is from RNAcentral.
UUUCAUAGUCUUUUUUUAGUGAUAGUGGUCUAUAUCAUGAAAAGAGUGUAGGACAUAUGGUACAAGAAAAUACCAAAAAAUGUUGAAACCAAAUUACGGAUCAUGUUUUGGAUGUUUACAGUCGACAACUCUGAUUUUUCAGAAAAAAAAAAAAAAAAUACCUUCCACAAAAAUCUAAUUUGAGUAUCAUGUGGUAGAUGCAGAGAUAUAUGCAUUUGAUUGUCGAUUCGAUUUGCAGUUCGUUGAUUUUUCCUUUAUUAUGUGGUAGAUGUUCGCUUUUGAUCCGGUUU